RNAcentral lists this ribosomal RNA (666 nucleotides) under uncultured Chloroflexota bacterium. RNAcentral describes it as "bacterial SSU rRNA". It matches the Rfam family "Bacterial small subunit ribosomal RNA", at positions 335 to 1025 of the family's 1533-position model. Lineage: Bacteria; Bacillati; Chloroflexota. The record is from RNAcentral.
AUUCCUACGGGAGGCAGCAGUGGGGAAUAUUGGACAAUGGGCGAAAGCCUGAUCCAGCAACGCCGCGUGAGGGAUGACGGCCUUCGGGUUGUAAACCUCUUUCAGCAGGGACGAAGCGCAAGUGACGGUACCCUACGAGGAAGCCCCGGCUAACUCCGUGCCAGCAGCCGCGGUAAUACGGGGGCAAGCSYUGYUCGGAUACUGGGCGUAAGGGCGCGCAGGCGGCCCGGCAAGUCCUUCGUGAAAUCCCACAGCUCAACUGUGGAAUUGCGUGGGAUACUGCCAGGCUUGAGUCCGGGAGAGGAGAGUGGAAUUCCCAGUGUAGCGGUGAAUGCGUAGAUAUUGGGAGGAACACCGGUGGCGAAGGCGGCUCUCUGGGCUGUGUCUGACGCUGAGAUGCGAAAGUGUGUGGGAGCAAACGGGAUUAGAUACCCCGUAGCCACACCUAAACGAUGAGCACUAGGUGUGGGUGGGAAUCCAUCCGUGCCGUAGCUAACGCGUUAAGUGCUCCGCUGGGGACUAUGAGCGCAAGCUUAAAACUCAAAGGAAUUGACGGGGGCCCGCACAAGCAGCGGAGCGUGCGGUUCAAUUCGAUGCGACACGAAGAACCUUACCAGGGUUUGACAUGGGCGUGGUAGCGAACCGAAAGGGAGCGACCCGCAAGAG